AAUCCCCCUGACCGACAGCCUCUGCAGGAUUAUCUUCUUGGGCUUUAUUACAUUGACUAGAGUCAAUGUUUAUCCCUCAUUCGGCCGACAUCCCUUAGCUGUCUUUCCUUUUUUAUUUUUAUUCUUUUCAUUGAUUCAAAGGAAGAAGCAGCUUCUUCAUUUCUCUUCUCGCGAUCACCCCCACCGAACAUCCCCCGCAACUCUUGGCCACAUGUCCGCUACCCAGCCAUCUUUGAUCAAUCUUCAGCAAGCGAGACCCCUGCUCUUGACUCCAUCAUUUCAUCGACUCAUCCACCGCUUCACUUUAGCCCGCCAGCUGCUCCGAUUUCAUCGGUUUGCUCUCAACCAAAGCUAUUCCAGCUUCGACUCUGCCACGCCCGUGACGCCACGCUGCAGCUCUCUUCGUCCGCGCAUCUUCAGUUCAUCCAGUGAAGCUUGGCCCAGCGAAGCGUGUUCUUCAAGACCCAGCAGAAGGCCUCAACGUUGACCGAAGCAAAACCCCGAGUCCUCAGCUUCUGCCAGCAACGUCCAGCCUUCUUCAGCUCGCCAACCUCCACGAGUCUGCUGUCCACCGAAUUCAGCUCAUCAAAGUCAGCGCCAAACGGUUAAUUGACCGCAUGCCCCAUGCCAGCGAAGCCAUUGUUGACCGUGAAAUCUCCACUGGAGAAAUCCCCACACGUCCGAGGUCUUGCUGCUUCAGUCUACCCAGCUGCGAGGCUGCCUCUUCGGUCAACAAGCAAUUGGCCCCAUCGAUUCUCCUUCUGCAGCUCUCGUCUUCGGUACCUCCACCGAAGCAAGUCUCGGCAGCCCAUCUUCGGGCUCUCUUCGUGGGCCAGCUACGACAACCCAUCGAGUCCAUGAAGCAGGCCGUGAGAUCCAGCAGUCCUCAAGCCCAACAAAGCCAGUAAUCUCGACUCAUCAGCAGCUUUGUUACUUCCUUGUUCAGUCCAGUUGAAGCCGCAAGCCCAGCGGCCCAUCCAGUGUCUUCAGCCCGUAAUUUCAGUUUCAGCAGUCAGCCCAUCAGUUGAGCAGUUCGGCCCAGCUUGCAGCAAGCCCAUUUGAAGUCCAGCCCGCGAAAAAGGCCCAUUUGCAGCCAAGCCCAAGCCCAAGAGUGAGCCCAGUCCAGCGCAAGAACAAAUCUCAGUUGAGCUGAGAUUUGUUGGGCCCAAGUUUAAGGCUCGGUCCAAGCCCGCUGGUGUCGUCGAAAGCUUGAUUUCGGCCGCCGUCGCGGUGUUCUGUUCUUCGCAAAUCAAGCCCGUAGAUGAGCCUAUGAAGAAGGAACUAGAAGAGGACAAUGAGCCGGUAAAAGAUGAAAAGCUUGAAGGAUGUGAGCUUAGUGAAGAAGAGUCAGAAGAGAAUCAGGAUGAUCCUGAGUACGACCCGAAUGAGGAUUGAGAUCCCAUCCUCUUUCGUAAACCUUGUGUUGUGUAUAUAGAGUGUAACUAGAAUGUUAUGAAUAGUCUUGUAAAUAUACUUUGAGUUAUGUCAUGUAUAAAGGUUCGGUUGUGGAUUUCAAUUUGAAAAAUAUGGCUUUGCUUUUCUAUCCCAUUGUAUUAUUGUC
This is a long non-coding RNA of Eucalyptus grandis, 1561 nucleotides long. RefSeq lists it as uncharacterized. The record is from RefSeq and is a predicted model, not a curated record. The transcript has 2 exons. NCBI's taxonomy places the organism in Eukaryota, Viridiplantae, Streptophyta, Magnoliopsida, Myrtales, Myrtaceae.